RNAcentral lists this ribosomal RNA (865 nucleotides) under uncultured bacterium. Its description in RNAcentral is "bacterial SSU rRNA". It matches the Rfam family "Bacterial small subunit ribosomal RNA", at positions 21 to 896 of the family's 1533-position model. The record is from RNAcentral.
GGCUCAGAACGAACGUUGGCGGCGUGGAUUACGCAUGCAAGUCGAACGAAUCCCAGGGGGCAACUCCUGGGGGAAGUGGCGAAAGGGGCAGUAAGGCGUGGGUAACCUACCCUGGGGACUGGGAUAGCCUUCCUAACGGAAGGGUAAUACCAGGCGAUUUGACGAGGGGGCAUCCCUUUGUCAGGAAAUGAAUUUCGCCUCGGGAGGGGCUCACGUGAUAUUAGCUAGUUGGUGAGGUAACGGCUCACCAAGGCGAAGAUGUCUAGCGGGUGUGAGAGCACGACCCGCGCCACUGGCACUGAGACACUGGCCAGACACCUACGGGUGGCUGCAGUCGAGGAUCUUCGGCAAUGGGCGCAAGCCUGACCGAGCGACGCCGCGUGUGCGAUGAAGGCCUUCGGGUUGUAAAGCACUGUCGAGGGGGAGGAAGGCGCAAGCUUGACCUAUCCCUGGAGGAAGCACGGGCUAAGUUCGUGCCAGCAGCCGCGGUAAGACGAACCGUGCGAACGUUGUUCGGAAUCACUGGGCUUAAAGGGCGCGUAGGCGGGCAUUCAAGUCCGGGGUGAAAGCCCCCAGCUUAACUGGGGAAGUGCCUUGGAAACUGGAUGUCUUGAGGGAGGUAGGGGUCUGUGGAACUUCGGGUGGAGCGGUGAAAUGCGUUGAUAUCCGAAGGAACGCCGGUGGCGAAAGCGACGGACUGGACCUUUUCUGACGCUGAGGCGCGAAAGCCAGGGGAGCAAACGGGAUUAGAUACCCCGGUAGUCCUGGCCCUAAACGAUGAGAACUAGGUAGCGGACUUACAUGGGUUCGCUGCCGAAGCAAAAGUGGUAAGUUCUCCGCCUGGGGGAGUAUGGUCGCAAGGCUG